AAAUAAUAUAUUAAUUUAAUUUUAAAUGAAUAGAAAUUUGAAUAGAUAUUUAGUUAAUAAUUAAAAUGUUUUCUCUAUACAGUCUCAAGACAUCGCAGUGUACAUUGUAAUGGUUUCUCACAUUAAAAAAGCACAAAAGGUCUAAUUGUGCCUGAUAAAGAGUUUCACACAAAUGCCUCUUGCUGGUGAGAAUAAAUUCUUAGAGCAACAGUGUGCUGACUUUUUGUACUUUCUCAAUGAUUAUUUUAGUUAUUUUCAUUCCUUUUUCUGCAUAACCAUAAUUGAGAUGUGAAAAACUGAUGCAAAAAAAAAAAAACACCCUAAAGAAAAAAAGAAGGAAAAACUGUGUGUGGGCUGAGGCUGGUCAGGUGACGGCAUUUUAAAGAAGGCAGUGAAUGUGUGUGUGUGUGUGUGUGUGGUGUGGUGGGGGUGGGCCGGGGGCCGACUUACAGAGCCGUGUAGGCAGGAAACCUUCCCUGCUCACACACGCUUACCAUGCAGCCAUGGGGGUGGAGAGAUGCUAUGUAGUUAAACCCAAGGCAGCCUGUGGAUACAACACUUCCAGCGUGACACUCGCAGAGAACGGCAAAAGCUCAGCCUCAAAUACACACACACACACACACACACAUAGAACAGCAGAUCUCAACAGGAUACUGCAGUCAGUCACAGGCACAUGAGCACUGGAGGAAAUGGAGUGAGAAGAAAAAGGAAGAGACAAAUCACACACAUGCCAUGUGUGCAGAGAAGCAGAUUGUCCGCUAUCAGCGGUGAUGGUGCGCGGAGGAAGAAUGCGAGCAUACAGCGAAGUCAAACAAAAGGUGCGUCCUGGGUAUAUUUUAUUAUAUUGUGCCAUAAGCUGCAGAUUGUGUAUCCUUCAGAUGCAUUGUUUAGCAUUUGGUUAAUCUAUUUUUUUUUUCUUUCGAGAAGCAUGUGGCCAAACUAUAGGGUCCAAUGCCACAAAUGUGAUACAAAUGUGAUAAUUAAUUUUAAAAGAAUACUUAUUUUUGCUGCUUCCUGCAUUUGUUGCUUUGUCUUUAAAACCUCGAACAUACAAUGCCGAAUGCACGAAACGCACAGCAUGCUGUAG
Molecule: long non-coding RNA, 1087 nt
Organism: Cyprinus carpio carpio
Lineage: Eukaryota; Metazoa; Chordata; Actinopteri; Cypriniformes; Cyprinidae
Source: Ensembl